UUAGUCUUUUAUUAAUUUUUCUAAUCGGUUUUUGUGAUUGUUGUUUCUGUUCUUAAAAAGUUUUCAAUUUUACAUCAAAACCGCGAAGGAUGUUGUUUAGUUCAUGAGCACUGAUUCAUUUCUGUUGCCCUUCGAUCUUGAAACUAAAAGAACCUUUCGUCAGUUGAGAAGAGAACAGAAACUUAGAAACUGAAAAAAAAAAAGAGAAAAAAAGUAGAGAGAUACUUUUAUUCUUUCAUCCAACAAAAAGUGCUUGAGAUGGAUUCCUUUUCACCUUGGAAUGUUCCAGUUCCAUCGAUGUUUCAAAUGCAGCAUAAUCAAGCAAUGAGAAGUCAAAAACAAAAUCAUUGGAAUUCAAGCCCUUAUCUGAACACCUUCAACCAAGGUUGGGGUGAUCAUUCAAAUUUCUCGUGGGGAAGACAAAUAUGAUGAAAAUUAUUCUCAUCCUACCCAGAAAUAUGAGCAAACAUUCCCACAAGAGUUCCCGAAACAGCCUUAGCAAGACUACGAUCAACAAUGGAUGCCAGUACAAGUGCAAACGUCGCAAAGUUGCAACCUUGAAGAGAUGAUGACGAAAUUUAUGGCAAGAAAUGAUGCAGCAAUAUGCAACCUACAUAUCCAAAUGAGGCAGUUGGCCGAUGAGUGGAGGAACAUUACAUAAGGAGCAUUGCCGACUAAUGUGGAAUCCCCAAUGCGAGAAGAGGAGCAAAGUGAGGUAGCGAACCUAGGGAGCAAGCUACUUUAUGAAGAACCUGAGCUCCAAGUGGAAAAUGAUGAUCCAAAAUAUCUGAUAUUACUAACGAGGUAGAAAA
Momordica charantia (bitter melon) is the source of this 812-nucleotide non-coding RNA. Lineage: Eukaryota; Viridiplantae; Streptophyta; Magnoliopsida; Cucurbitales; Cucurbitaceae. The record is from RefSeq and is a predicted model, not a curated record.